AGGGUUUGAUCAUGGCUCAGAUUGAACGCUGGCGGCAGGCUUAACACAUGCAAGUCGAGCGGAAACGAUGGGAGCUUGCUCCCAGGCGUCGAGCGGCGGACGGGUGAGUAACACUUAGGAAUCUACCUAGUAGUGGGGGAUAGCUCGGGGAAACUCGAAUUAAUACCGCAUACGUCCUACGGGAGAAAGGGGGCAACUUGUUGCUCUCGCUAUUAGAUGAGCCUAAGUCGGAUUAGCUAGUUGGUGGGGUAAAGGCCUACCAAGGCGACGAUCUGUAGCUGGUCUGAGAGGAUGAUCAGCCACACCGGGACUGAGACACGGCCCGGACUCCUACGGGAGGCAGCAGUGGGGAAUAUUGGACAAUGGGGGGAACCCUGAUCCAGCCAUGCCGCGUGUGUGAAGAAGGCCUUUUGGUUGUAAAGCACUUUAAGCAGUGAAGAAGACUCUUCGGUUAAUACCCGGGGACGAUGACAUUAGCUGCAGAAUAAGCACCGGCUAACUCUGUGCCAGCAGCCGCGGUAAUACAGAGGGUGCAAGCGUUAAUCGGAAUUACUGGGCGUAAAGCGAGCGUAGGUGGCUUGAUAAGUCAGAUGUGAAAUCCCCGGGCUUAACCUGGGAACUGCAUCUGAUACUGUUAGGCUAGAAUAGGUGAGAGGAAGGUAGAAUUCCAGGUGUAGCGGUGAUAUGCGUAGAGAUCUGGAGGAAUACCGAUGGCGAAGGCAGCCUUCUGGCAUCAUAUUGACACUGAGGUUCGAAAGCGUGGGUAGCAAACAGGAUUAGAUACCCUGGUAGUCCACGCCGUAAACGAUGUCUACUAGUCGUUGGGUCCCUUGAGGACUUAGUGACGCAGCUAACGCAAUAAGUAGACCGCCUGGGGAGUACGGCCGCAAGGUUAAAACUCAAAUGAAUUGACGGGGGCCCGCACAAGCGGUGGAGCAUGUGGUUUAAUUCGAUGCACGC
This 960-nucleotide ribosomal RNA is filed under the name uncultured Gammaproteobacteria bacterium. RNAcentral describes it as "bacterial SSU rRNA". It matches the Rfam family "Bacterial small subunit ribosomal RNA", at positions 8 to 962 of the family's 1533-position model. The record is from RNAcentral. Lineage: Bacteria; Pseudomonadati; Pseudomonadota; Gammaproteobacteria.